Molecule: ribosomal RNA, 484 nt
Filed under: uncultured bacterium
Lineage: Bacteria
Description: partial 16S ribosomal RNA
Rfam family: Bacterial small subunit ribosomal RNA
Source: RNAcentral
AUUGAACGCUGGCGGCAGGCCUAACACAUGCAAGUCGAGCGGAUGAAGGGAGCUUGCUCCUGGAUUCAGCGGCGGACGGGUGAGUAAUGCCUAGGAAUCUGCCUGGUAGUGGGGGAUAACGUCCGGAAACGGGCGCUAAUACCGCAUACGUCCUGAGGGAGAAGGUGGGGGAUCUUCGGACCUCACGCUAUCAGAUGAGCCUAGGUCGGAUUAGCUAGUUGGUGGGGUAAAGGCCUACCAAGGCGACGAUCCGUAACUGGUCUGAGAGGAUGAUCAGUCACACUGGAACUGAGACACGGUCCAGACUCCUACGGGAGGCAGCAGUGGGGAAUAUUGGACAAUGGGCGAAAGCCUGAUCCAGCCAUGCCGCGUGUGUGAAGAAGGUCUUCGGAUUGUAAAGCACCUUAAGUUGGGAGGAAGGGCAGUAAGUUAAUACCUUGCUGUUUUGACGUUACCAACAGAAUAAGCACCGGCUAACUUCGUG